CGCCGAUCCCAGCCUCUGGGCGCUGGCGGUCCGGGGCGCUCCCUGGGGUCGGGAGGCUGAGGCUCGUCGAGUGGUGCAGCCGUGGGCGCGACUGGGCUCCCGCGGGGGCGGGCCCCCGAAACAGUGACCCUCUGCGUGGGACGGUGACCCUCGCCGUCGUGACCCCUUACGGUAGUAGCCGAGAGGUCUGCAGGCCACCAUGCAUGUCAGGCAACUACUUUCCAUUGGGCUGCAUUUCCGCAGAGUGGCAGCUGCUGGAGUCCUGACGUUUCCUAUCGGAAAAGGAAAGGAAAUUUUUGUUAACUGAUUUUCAGGAAAGAAGCUCCCAAAGUAGAACAAGGGCCUGUGUGCCUUUGUGUCCUCACCAAUGUCACACGGCCCUGGCACCUAGCAAGGUACUCCAGUUCCCUUUCAACCAUUCCACAUUCUAUCCUUUCAAAAUAACUAGUCCUUUCAUUCCCCUUUUUAAAUAGAAAUGAAAUUAGUUUUCAUUAAUUAGAAGACUUCCCAAUUAAACCGUUUCUCGUGUUGCACACUUAUUCCUGAAACGAUUUUUUUGAAACUUAAGCUUAGCGUUGAAAAAAAAAAAAACACCUAAGGUUCGACACAAGGGAGGCCGAUACUGUGGGAGUGGGAGCCGCGGGGAGAAGCAGCUUCCUGUCCAGGCUCACACCAAGUUCCUUAUACCUGAGGCCAUCCGCGUGAGUGAGUUCAUCAGGAUCAUCAGAAGGGGCUGACAGCUCAAUACUAAUCAAGCCUUCCCACCGUUGUUGAUCGAUGUAGCACGGUUGAAAAGAGCUCUGGACGUGGAGGAGGGAACACUAGGAAUGUAUCAACUGCUACUGAACCAUGUAGUUAACAAUGGUUAAGACGCUCCAAGUUCUGCCGGCGCCGUCCUGCUCCUGACCGCGGCGGUCUCACCGCCACCCUGCGGAAGUGAGAAGCAGCCGCGGGUCUCUUCUCUCCCACAACAGCCACGUUCCUCUCCGGAAUCUACUUUAUCGUCACAUCCUUAGCUCUUUGGCGAAGUUCAGAACAAACAAAGGACAUUGAUGUGACACCAUUGUGCCAAAUCUGGCGAAAUCUCAGUGGCAGGGUUGGAGCAACGGUCGCUGCAACCGUCUACACCUUAUGUGGAGGCGGAAGUCCUCUCUGAAGGUCAGUGUCAAUGCCCAAGGAGAGACGGGUAACGUGGCCAAACCUGUGAUCGCGCCUGCUGCGUGCUGUGAUUCCGUCCGACACAUUUAGUGGGGAUGAUACUCCGAUUCCUUCAGCUCAUUGGGAUUUACUGGCUUUUUACUACAAUAAAAGUGGUUGUGUCACUGUCGCUA
Molecule: long non-coding RNA, 1331 nt
Organism: Herpailurus yagouaroundi (jaguarundi)
Lineage: Eukaryota; Metazoa; Chordata; Mammalia; Carnivora; Felidae
Exons: 3
Source: RefSeq, a predicted model, not a curated record